This 438-nucleotide ribosomal RNA is filed under the name uncultured bacterium. RNAcentral describes it as "bacterial SSU rRNA". It matches the Rfam family "Bacterial small subunit ribosomal RNA", at positions 29 to 490 of the family's 1533-position model. The record is from RNAcentral.
AACGAACGCUGGCGGCAUGCCUAACACAUGCAAGUCGGAUGUGCCGCAAGGUGCAUGGCAGACGGGUGAGUAACGCGUAGGGAAUCUACCUUUUUGUGGGGAAUAACGCUCCGAAAGGAGUGGUAAUACCGCAUGAGACCGUGGCCUGGGAUGGUUACGGUGAAACCUGGGGACCGCAAGGCCUGGGGCAAAAAGAGGAUCCUGCGUCUGAUUAGCUAGUUGGCGGGUAAUGGCCCACCAAGGCGACGAUCAGUAGCCGGCCUGAGAGGGUGAUCGGCCACACUGGAACUGAGACACGGUCCAGACUCCUACGGGAGGCAGCAGUGGGAAUAUUGGACAAUGGGCGCAAGCCUGAUCCAGCAAUGCCGCGUGGGUGAUGAAGGCCUUCGGUUGUAAGCCCUUUGGUCGGGACGAUGAUGACGGUACCCGCCGAAUAAG